AGGAUGAACGCUGGCGGCGUGCUUAACACAUGCAAGUCGAACGAUGAAGCCGGAGCUUGCUCUGGUGGAUUAGUGGCGAACGGGUGAGUAACACGUGAGUAACCUGCCCUUGACUCUGGGAUAAGCGUUGGAAACGACGUCUAAUACCGGAUACGACGCGCGAAGGCAUCUUCUGCGCGUGGAAAGAAUUUCGGUCAAGGAUGGACUCGCGGCCUAUCAGCUAGUUGGUGAGGUAACGGCCCACCAAGGCGACGACGGGUAGCCGGCCUGAGAGGGUGACCGGCCACACUGGGACUGAGACACGGCCCAGACUCCUACGGAGGCAGCAGUGGGAAUAUGCACAAUGGGCGCAAGCCUGAUGCAGCAACGCCGCGUGAGGGACGACGGCCUUCGGUUCGUAAACCUCGUUUUAAGUAGGAAGAAGACGAAAGUAGACGGUACCUGACAAGAAAAGACGACGACGUAACACGUGCCAGCACGACCGCGUAAUCGUAGACGGCGGCGUGGACG
RNAcentral lists this ribosomal RNA (510 nucleotides) under uncultured soil bacterium. RNAcentral's name for it is "bacterial SSU rRNA". It matches the Rfam family "Bacterial small subunit ribosomal RNA", at positions 33 to 541 of the family's 1533-position model. The record is from RNAcentral.